UGAUGGAGCCGCUAUUUGGCAGUUGCAGGU
Molecule: non-coding RNA, 30 nt
Filed under: Homo sapiens (human)
Lineage: Eukaryota; Metazoa; Chordata; Mammalia; Primates; Hominidae
Source: RNAcentral